Molecule: long non-coding RNA, 715 nt
Organism: Carassius auratus (goldfish)
Lineage: Eukaryota; Metazoa; Chordata; Actinopteri; Cypriniformes; Cyprinidae
Exons: 2
Source: RefSeq, a predicted model, not a curated record
AGAGCGUUCUACGGGCCGCUGAAGCGCUGGAUGGCUGUCUCGGGGAUCCUGCGGGCCGGAGUCUGGACGAGCGGAUGGAGGGCGUAUCAGAGAGGAUUCUGGGGAAACGUGCGGGGCGAAGGCUUCCUGCUGGGGGCGGUGUAUGUCAUCGGACCGGGUGCACAGGGAAUCCUGCUGGAACACAGAGAGAUGGAGUUCGGAGACAAGGUCAAGAAGUCUGACGUGAUUCAAGCUGUUGAACAGAUAAAAAAUGACACUAAAAAAGCCUAAAAUAUCACACGCUUACUGAAAACCCCUUCAGCUUGAAUGUGUUUUAUUCUAAAGUACUCCAUUAUAUAUGCAUGCGUGUGUGUGUGUGUGUGUGUGUGUGUAGUUGAUGACAGACUGACUCUAAACUCAGAUGAAGGAUCAGUCUCGAUGUUUCUUGCUCUACACACACACACAGAAACCUAUCAAAUACACCAAUAAAACACACACUAUCAUCGAUCAAAUGUGUUGUUAUUAUUUGUGAAUGCAUUACUGUGUAUUGAACUGUGUCCCUGCAGCACAGAAGCUAGUCUAGGCUAACAAAACAAUGUGAUUAAUUAUCAAACACAUUGAGAAAUAUUAAAUGUCAAAAAUGUUCUAUUUUAACGUGAAUCCAGUUAGGGUCAAUUUGGCCGCACCAUAAAGAUCAAACCCAGAUUUGUAACACAAUUAAAGAUGCUCAAACAUG